Molecule: transfer RNA, 87 nt
Filed under: Paracoccaceae bacterium
Lineage: Bacteria; Pseudomonadati; Pseudomonadota; Alphaproteobacteria; Rhodobacterales; Paracoccaceae
Also listed under: 2 other names
Description: Rhodobacteraceae bacterium (activated sludge metagenome) tRNA-Leu
Rfam family: tRNA
About the family: Transfer RNA (tRNA) molecules are approximately 80 nucleotides in length. Their secondary structure includes four short double-helical elements and three loops (D, anti-codon, and T loops). Further hydrogen bonds mediate the characteristic L-shaped molecular structure. tRNAs have two regions of fundamental functional importance: the anti-codon, which is responsible for specific mRNA codon recognition, and the 3' end, to which the tRNAs corresponding amino acid is attached (by aminoacyl-tRNA synthetases). tRNAs cope with the degeneracy of the genetic code in two manners: having more than one tRNA (with a specific anti-codon) for a particular amino acid; and 'wobble' base-pairing, i.e. permitting non-standard base-pairing at the 3rd anti-codon position.
Source: RNAcentral
GCCCCAGUGGCGGAAUUGGUAGACGCGGCAGACUCAAAAUCUGUUGCCUUCACGGGCGUGCUGGUUCGAGUCCGGCCUGGGGCACCA